CGAACGCUGGCGGCGUGCUUAACACAUGCACGUCGAACGGAAAGGCCCUGCUUUUGUGGGGUGCUCGAGUGGCGAACGGGUGAGUAACACGUGAGUAACCUGCCCUUGACUUUGGGAUAACUUCAGGAAACUGGGGCUAAUACCGGAUAGGAGCUCCUGCUGCAUGGUGGGGGUUGGAAAGUUUCGGCGGUUGGGGAUGGACUCGCGGCUUAUCAGCUUGUUGGUGGGGUAGUGGCUUACCAAGGCUUUGACGGGUAGCCGGCCUGAGAGGGUGACCGGCCACAUUGGGACUGAGAUACGGCCCAGACUCCUACGGGAGGCAGCAGUGGGGGAUAUUGCACAAUGGGCGGAAGCCUGAUGCAGCAACGCCGCGUGCGGGAUGACGGCCUUCGGGUUGUAAACCGCUUUCGCCUGUGACGAAGCGUGAGUGACGGUAAUGGGUAAAGAAGCACCGGCUAACUACGUG
RNAcentral lists this ribosomal RNA (466 nucleotides) under uncultured bacterium. Its description in RNAcentral is "partial 16S ribosomal RNA". It matches the Rfam family "Bacterial small subunit ribosomal RNA", at positions 30 to 507 of the family's 1533-position model. The record is from RNAcentral.